GUAUAAGCAAUCUAUACGGUGAAACUGCGAAUGGCUCAUUAAAUCAGUCAUAAUUUAUUUGAUAGUACCAUUCUACUUGGAUAACCGUGGUAAUUCUAGAGCUAAUACAUGCUAAAAACCCCGACUUCGGAAGGGGUGUAUUUAUUAGAUAAAAAACCAAUGCCCUUCGGGGCUCCUUGGUGAUUCAUGAUAACUUAACGAAUCGCAUGGCCUUGUGCCGGCGAUGGUUCAUUCAAAUUUCUGCCCUAUCAACUUUCGAUGGUAGGAUAGUGGCCUACCAUGGUUUCAACGGGUAACGGGGAAUUAGGGUUCUAUUCCGGAGAGGGAGCCUGAGAAACGGCUACCACAUCCAAGGAAGGCAGCAGGCGCGCAAAUUACCCAAUCCCGACACGGGGAGGUAGUGACAAUAAAUACUGAUGCAGAGCUCUUUUGGGUUUUGCAAUUGGAAUGAGUACAAUUUAAAUCCCUUAACGAGGAACAAUUGGAGGGCAAGUCUGGUGCCAGCAGCCGCGGUAAUUCCAGCUCCAAUAGCGUAUAUUAAAGUUGUUGCAGUUAAAAAGCUCGUAGUUGAACCUUGGGCCUGGCUGGCCGGUCCGCCUCACCGCGUGCACUGGUCCGGCCGGGCCUUUCCUUCUGGGGAGCCGCAUGCCCUUCACUGGGUGUGUCGGGGAACCAGGACUUUUACUUUGAAAAAAUUAGAGUGUUCAAAGCAGGCCUAUGCUCGAAUACAUUAGCAUGGAAUAAUAGAAUAGGACGUGUGGUUCUAUUUUGUUGGUUUCUAGGACCGCCGUAAUGAUUAAUAGGGAUAGUCGGGGGCAUCAGUAUUCAAUUGUCAGAGGUGAAAUUCUUGGAUUUAUUGAAGACUAACUACUGCGAAAGCAUUUGCCAAGGAUGUUUUCAUUAAUCAGUGAACGA
RNAcentral lists this ribosomal RNA (915 nucleotides) under Leotiomycetes sp. RNAcentral describes it as "SSU rRNA". It matches the Rfam family "Eukaryotic small subunit ribosomal RNA", at positions 63 to 986 of the family's 1831-position model. Lineage: Eukaryota; Fungi; Ascomycota; Leotiomycetes. The record is from RNAcentral.